This 447-nucleotide ribosomal RNA is filed under the name uncultured bacterium. RNAcentral describes it as "partial 16S ribosomal RNA". It matches the Rfam family "Bacterial small subunit ribosomal RNA", at positions 331 to 794 of the family's 1533-position model. The record is from RNAcentral.
CCAGACUCCUACGGGAGGCAGCAGUGGGGAAUAUUGCACAAUGGGGGAAACCCUGAUGCAGCAACGCCGCGUGAGUGAGGAAGUAUUUCGGUAUGUAAAGCUCUAUCAGCAGGGAAUAGAAAAGAAGGUACCUGAAAAAGAAGCCCCGGCUAACUACGUGCCAGCAGCCGCGGUAAUACGUAGGGGGCGAGCGUUAUCCGGAUUCACUGGGUGUAAAGGGAGCGUAGACGGCCAAGCAAGCCAGGGGUGAAAGCCCGGGGCCCAACCCCGGGACUGCCCUUGGAACUGCUUGGCUGGAGUGCGGGAGGGGCAGGCGGAAUUCCUGGUGUAGCGGUGAAAUGCGUAGAUAUCAGGAGGAACACCGGCGGCGAAGGCGGCCUGCUGGACCGCUACUGACGUUGAGGCUCGAAAGCGUGGGGAGCGAACAGGAUUAGAUACCCCCGUAAA